GCCUGGGUGGCUCAGUGGGUUGAGCAUCUGACUUCCGCUCAGGUCAUGAUCCCUCGGUUUGUGAGUUCGAGCCUCACGUCAGUCU
This 85-nucleotide transfer RNA is filed under the name Felis catus (domestic cat). It matches the Rfam family "tRNA". Rfam says of the family: Transfer RNA (tRNA) molecules are approximately 80 nucleotides in length. The record is from Rfam by way of RNAcentral. Lineage: Eukaryota; Metazoa; Chordata; Mammalia; Carnivora; Felidae.